ACACGACUACAUUAGAUACCCGCGUAGUCCUAGCCGUAAACGAUACUCGCUAGGUGUCGGCCACGGUGCGACCGUUGUCGGUGCCGUAGGGAAGCCGUGAAACGUGCCGCCUGGGAAGUACGGUCGCAAGGCUGAAACUUAAAGGAAUUGCGGGGGAGCACCACAACGGGUGGAGCCUGCGGUUUAAUUGGACUCAACGCCGGGAAGCUCACCGGAUAAGACAGCGGAAUGAUUGCCGGGCUGAAGACCCUGCAUGACCAGCUG
This 264-nucleotide ribosomal RNA is filed under the name uncultured archaeon. RNAcentral describes it as "partial 16S ribosomal RNA". It matches the Rfam family "Archaeal small subunit ribosomal RNA", at positions 717 to 982 of the family's 1478-position model. The record is from RNAcentral.